This 867-nucleotide ribosomal RNA is filed under the name uncultured archaeon. RNAcentral describes it as "bacterial SSU rRNA". It matches the Rfam family "Archaeal small subunit ribosomal RNA", at positions 1 to 878 of the family's 1478-position model. The record is from RNAcentral.
CUCCGGUGAUCCUGCCGGACCCGACUGCUAUCAGAGUGAGAUUAAGCCAUGCGAGUCAACGUAGCAAUACGUGGCACACGGCUCAGUAACACGUAGUCAACAUAACCAAAGGACGUGGAUAAACUCGGGAAACUGAGGCUAAACCGCGAUAGAUCAAGAUAUCUGGAAUGGUUUUUGAUCGAAAUCUAUAUGGCCUUUGGAUUGGACUGCGUCCGAUCAGGCUGUUGGUGAGGUAAUGGCCCACCAAACCUGUAACCGGUACGGGCUCUGAGAGGAGGAGCCCGGAGAUGGGUACUGAGAAAAGGACCCAGGCCCUAUGGGGCGCAGCAGGCGCGAAACCUCUGCAAUAGGCGAAAGCCUGACAGGGUUACUCUGAGUGACUUUCGCUAAGAAAGUCUUUUGACAUCUCUAAAAAUGGUGUAGAAUAAGGGGUGGGCAAGUCUGGUGUCAGCCGCCGCGGUAAUACCAGCACCCCGAGUGGUCGGGACGAUUAUUGGGCCUAAAGCAUCCGUAGCCGGUUUUACAAGUCCUCCGUUAAAUCCAGCUGCUUAACAGAUGGGCUGCGGAGGAUACUAUAAGACUAGGAGGCAGGAGAGGCAAGCGGUACUCAGUGGGUAGGGGUAAAAUCCGUUGAUCCAUUGAAGACCACCAGUGGCGAAGGCGGCUUGCCAGAAUGCGCUCGACGGUGAGGGAUGAAAGCUGGGGGAGCAAACCGGAUUAGAUACCCGGGUAGUCCCAGCUGUAAACGAUGCAGACUCGGUGAUGGACUAGCUUUAUGCUAGUCCAGUGCCGCAGGGAAGCCGUUAAGUCUGCCGCCUGGGUAGUACGGUCGCAAGACUGAAACUUAAAGGAAUUGGCGGGGGAGCA